GCCGGCAUGGCUUAGUGGUUGAGCAUCAACCUAUGAACCAGGAGAUCACGGUUCGAUUCCUUGUGAGGGCA
This 71-nucleotide transfer RNA is filed under the name Myotis lucifugus (little brown bat). It matches the Rfam family "tRNA". From Rfam's summary of the family: Transfer RNA (tRNA) molecules are approximately 80 nucleotides in length. Their secondary structure includes four short double-helical elements and three loops (D, anti-codon, and T loops). The record is from Rfam by way of RNAcentral. Lineage: Eukaryota; Metazoa; Chordata; Mammalia; Chiroptera; Vespertilionidae.